RNA transcript from Setaria italica (foxtail millet), 2062 nucleotides. RefSeq lists it as uncharacterized. The transcript has a single exon. Lineage: Eukaryota; Viridiplantae; Streptophyta; Magnoliopsida; Poales; Poaceae. The record is from RefSeq and is a predicted model, not a curated record.
GAAUAGAUAAAGGAUUUCGGAGAAUUUUGAGGGAAGGCUUGCACGGUUGCACCUACAGCACACGCAGCCUCGAAACAAAGGGCGCAUCCCGGACAACACAGUGGAGUAGCGGAUACAGCGCACUGAGGCCGACCAGUGGUAGCCCCCUGGCUUCCCCGCCUCGACUUCUCAGAUUGGUGAGCAGCUGAGCAUCGGACCCGCCGGCCCACUCCAAAGAGCGCGCGCCACCUGCCACGCCGCCGCGAUGCCAUCGGAUCAGCUGUCCGCGUCCACCGUGGACGCCGACGCGGCGCCCGCGUCCCUCUCCUCUCCCAGAUGGAAGAAGCCCUCGUCCGGUCCCCAUCCCCGCACGGGCGACUGCGACCGGGGCCCCAACCCUAGCCCCCUCGGCGCCCCUUCGUGCAGGAGCGAGCUCAAGCGCAGGCUCCGCGAGUCCGCGGAGGCCGCGCGCGGGUCCGGCGACGGAGGCAGACAAAGGCUCGGGCUUGCGGGCGUCACUGUCGGCGUAGGCCACGGCGCCGUCCAGAGUCUCUGGAGCGACGCGGACGAGGUCACGCUCCUCGCCGCCGCCGCCGCCUUCCGCGAGCGCACCGGCCGUGUCCCGCGCCUCCCGGACGCGGCGGCGCUGUUCGGCUCCAUCGGGGACUCCAUCUCGCCGCACAUCGACGAGGCCAAGGCGUACGACAAGCUGAGCCGCCUCGAGAGCAAGUUCCUGCACGGUGCGUCGGGGAGUCCCGCCGGCACGCACGACCGCCGCGUCCAUGACUUGUCCACCAAAGUAUGGGGCCUCGCCAACGUCGUGUCCCCUCCCGAGGACGACUCGGACGGCCAAGACGCUGAAGAGAGCUGCAGUGACGAGCGACGCCUGAUCAUAGAGCGCGCGCCACCCGUCGACGCGCUGAUGCCACCCGACGCGGCGACCUUGGACGCCGACGCGGCACCCGCGCCUCCUUCCCCUCCCAUUGCAAAGAAGCACCCGCCCAGCCCUCAGCGCGGCAUGGACGGCGACCGCCAGGACCCCAACUCUAGCCCCCGCGGCUCUCCCUCCCGCAGGAGCGAGCCCAAUCGCAGGCUCCGCACGUCGGCGGAGAGUACCGUGGCGGCCGCGCGCGGGUCGAACGUCGACGGAGGGCAUGAAGACGUCCAGAGUCUCGAACCCGGGGGCGUCGCUGUCGACGUAGGCCAGAGGCUCGAACCCGCGGACGACGGAGGCCACGGCGCCGCCCCUAAUUAUCCCAGGACAUGGAGCGACGCCGAUGAGGUCACGCUCCUCGAGGCAGCCGCUGCCUUCCGGGAGCGCACUGGCCAAAUACCGCAGAAACGGGAGUACGGGACGCAGGGGUGCUGCUCCGCUCCAUCAGGGGCUCCAUCUCCCCGCACAUCGACGAGGCCAAGGUGUACCACAAGCUUCGUCGCUUCAAGAGCAAGUUCCGGCACGAGGCGCCGGGGAAAAUCCGCCACUGGGCACGACCGCCUCGUGCAUGAUCUUUGUGCCAAAGUUCGGGGCUUUGGCAACACUGUGGCCCGAGAUGCAUCAACCGUGAUGCCGGUGGUCACCGAGGUGCUUGCUGAGUACUGGAAAAUGAAUGAGCGGGCAUUGGCGGGGUUUCCCCUGGAGAAGGGUCUUUCACUACUAAGCAAAAAGGAGGGCAGAUUGAUGGAAACCAGGUGGAGGAAGCAGCUUGAUGAAGAGAUGCAAACACAGAUGCAGCGCCAUGAUCUGGCUAAGGAAAUUUGUGUCUUGCUCAAUGACACCGUCAAGGAUCUCAGUUCUUGACUCUGGUACGAAUGCCAUGCUGCAUGCAAUUUGUAGGAAAUUUCCUUCCCUAGCCUAACUACUUGUUCUUAGCUAUUUUGAACUUGUUGCUCGUUCUGUAGUUUAAUUUAGUGUCAGGAAAAUUACCUUAGAAGUUGUUCAGAGAUGGAAACUGAGUGUGCUGCCUGAUUGUUGCAAUGUUCUGCAUUUGUCUGACUUCUGUUCGCAAAAUAGCACAGCAAGCGUUUCUUAAUGCAGUGCAUCACAUACUGGAAAAUCAGCUAAGCUGGACUGCAAAAGAGCUGA